GCCUCCCAAAGUACUGGGAUUACAGGCAUGAGCCACCACACCUGGCCCCUACAAGACUUAAAAAAAAAAUUGGCCCCAUAAAUCUUGUUUAACCCAGUUAAUAUGCUCAUUUCUGCUGAUUUACAGAAUAUUCGAAAUCAGAUUGGAAGAGUGGGGUGAAAAGGAAGACUUACUGAUUGCCCCUGCAAAUGAAAUAAUUCCAUCCUAAAGCCCUCUGGGUAGGUGUUAAGGGGAGUUGCAUUCUCACUCUUCACACUUCCAUUGACUUAGGGCAGGGCUGUUAGUAAGACCAUUUGGCUAUAGAAUUAAGUCACGUUGCCAGCUUCCUUUUGCAGCAAUAAAGCUGAUGAUCCAAUUGCCAUCCCUCUCAUGGAACUGUUCGGAGCUCAGGAAUGAAAGAACAGUUUGUAUUGGCUCCCUGAAAUCCGAAGAGUACUUGUCCUUAAAUUAGAAAAACUGCCAUGAGAAGAACAGCAGUCUCAUGAUUAUAAAGAAAGAAAAAACAACACAUGGCGUCACUCACUCAUCCUUCACAAAGAUGGAACAGUAUAUAGAUGUACCCAAUUGUUAUUCUUAGAAAUUGUCUUUAAAUCUCCAUCUAGAACAAUUUGGAGUAUUUUUCACGGAAUGUAGUACAGUUUACUUCCUCUCACAAAGCCGUAACUAUCCAUCACUGAAUGCUUUUCUCCUCAAUUUUUUCUCCAUGUUUUUACAAGACUUCUAUAUAUCCAUUCUGAACCCUGAAAGUUAAGUAAUUUCUUGGUUUGUCCACAGUCCCCAAGACUUCUAAACCAUCUGAGUCAAAUCCCAUUUACUUCAUCAUGCAGAUGGCUAUUCUCUUGUAAAUUCUCUGAAAGUCACAAGUUAAAUCAAGGAGUGACCAAACACUUUACAGAAUUUUCUUGUAUUAUAGAACAGAGAAAUACCAGGAAGAAAAAAAUAUAUAUUCCCUAUUUAAUUGCUGCUCCUGGAUUUCAUACAUUCUGUCUCACAGGAACAGAAACUAGAGCAAUUAUUGUCACUAAGUGCUAAGCACAGUAUCUAAUAUACAAUAUAUGUCCAUUAAACACCUAAACGAACAAAUGACUAAGGAAUAUAAAACAUCUCCCUAGCAGUCACACAAACUCUCCUUUUCCAAUCACAGCAAUUUUUCUGAGCCAUUGUGAUGGUGGUAAUGACUGCUCUUCAACAGAUCUCACUCGUUAUCAGGUACUUUCCUUGUUAUCUGUUAAAUUCCUGGCAAUUUUUUACUCAGUGAUCAACUCAACAAUAGCAAUUUUAAUACCUGGCCUUUAGACAUAGUUGCAAAACUCUUAGUCACCAUACGGUACUGUUUUCUAGAGGGUCUCUACUUUAACUGCUUGGGGGUGGGAGGGAAGAAACAUGCCAUGGUUUUUAAAGAGAUUUAUGUUUUUAUGAUAAAAUUCUCUUAAAUUGAGCAAGCUCUGGGCACUCCACUGAAUAAGGCAUAAUUUCAGUUAUACAAGAAAACAAAUAGUUUGAUUACCAAAAACUCCAUUUUCAAUAAUGACUUUGAAAAUAUAAUUCCAAGAAAACUGAGUCCUCAAUAUGAGACGUACAAAUGUGCUUCCGAAUUAAAAAAUGUGAUGGCAAAUGAUUAUAAAACUGUGAAAAACUAUAAAAAUAUAGUAAAGGUAAAUGUGCCAGAAAUGGAAAAAUUUUACCUGAGUAAGUCCCAAAUUAUAUUAUACGUCUAUAUAAGGGAGCACAGGUGCUGAGCAUGAAGCCCGACUGACCUAGCAGGCAUUCAAAACUACAUGUGUGAUGAAGAAAAUUUCAUUCUUUAACCAAAUAUACUAAAUUUCACUGAUCAGAAAUCCAUGAUGAUGUAUUUGGAUGGUUAAAUAAAUUCAUGCUCAGAUGGAAUAUGUGUUUUCAUAAUAUUAACCAUGAGAGUUUUGUAGAACAUCUGGAUUUUUGCCUAGAAUUUUUGGAUUUUAUUAGAAAACUACGUAAUGUGAGGACACCAUUUUCUGAAACUGUAAAUUCUUCUCUGGCCUUUUCACUCCUUCACAUUACCCCUUACAAAAUAUUAAUCUCAGGUUUAUGAAAGGAGUAUUUUUUUUUCAUAAAACUUAGUAACUUUCCUCUUUU
Long non-coding RNA from Sapajus apella (tufted capuchin), 2115 nucleotides. RefSeq lists it as uncharacterized. The record is from RefSeq and is a predicted model, not a curated record. Lineage: Eukaryota; Metazoa; Chordata; Mammalia; Primates; Cebidae. The transcript is spliced from 2 exons.